This 460-nucleotide ribosomal RNA is filed under the name uncultured bacterium. RNAcentral's name for it is "partial 16S ribosomal RNA". It matches the Rfam family "Bacterial small subunit ribosomal RNA", at positions 338 to 795 of the family's 1533-position model. The record is from RNAcentral.
CCUACGGGUGGCAGCAGUGAGGAAUAUUGGUCAAUGGACGAGAGUCUGAACCAGCCAAGUAGCGUGAAGGAUGACUGCCCUCUGGGUUGUAAACUUCUUUUAUAUGGGAAUAAAAUGUUCCACGUGUGGGUUUUUGUAUGUACCAUAUGAAUAAGGAUCGGCUAACUCCGUGCCAGCAGCCGCGGUAAUACGGAGGAUCGGAGCGUUAUCCGGAUUUAUUGGGUGUAACGGGAGCGUAGGUGGAUUGUUAAGUCAGUUGUGAAAGCUUGCGGCUCAACCGUAAAAUUGCAGUUGAUACUGGCAGUCUUGAGUACAGUAGAGGUGGGCAGAAUGCGUGGUGUAGCGGUGAAAUGCUUAGAUAUCACGAAGAACUCCGAUUGCGAAGGCAGCUCACUGGACUGCAACUGACACUGAGGCUCGAAAGUGUGGGUAUCAAACAGGAUUAGAUACCCGAGUAGUC